RNAcentral lists this ribosomal RNA (274 nucleotides) under uncultured Staphylococcus sp. Its description in RNAcentral is "partial 16S ribosomal RNA". It matches the Rfam family "Bacterial small subunit ribosomal RNA", at positions 88 to 355 of the family's 1533-position model. The record is from RNAcentral. Lineage: Bacteria; Bacillati; Bacillota; Bacilli; Caryophanales; Staphylococcaceae.
UACGUUAGCGGCGGACGGGUGAGUAACACGUGGGUAACCUACCUAUAAGACUGGGAUAACUUCGGGAAACCGGAGCUAAUACCGGAUAAUAUUUCGAACCGCAUGGUUCGAUAGUGAAAGAUGGUUUUGCUAUCACUUAUAGAUGGACCCGCGCUGUAUUAGCUAGUUGGUAAGGUAACGGCUUACCAAGGCGACGAUACGUAGCCGACCUGAGAGGGUGAUCGGCCACACUGGAACUGAGACACGGUCCAGACUCCUACGGGAGGCAGCAGCC